GUCGUGACUGCGUGCCUUUUGAAGAAUGAGCCUGCGAGUUUGCGGUAUGUUGCGAGGUUAACCCGUGUGGGGAAGCCGUAGCGAAAGCGAGUCCGAAGAGGGCGAUAUAGUAGCGUGCCCAAGACCCGAAGCGGAGUGAUCUAGCCAUGGGCAGGUUGAAGCGGAGGUAAGACUUCGUGGAGGACCGAACCCACCAGGGUUGAAAACCUGGGGGAUGACCUGUGGUUAGGGGUGAAAGGCCAAUCAAACUCCGUGAUAGCUGGUUCUCCCCGAAAUGCAUUUAGGUGCAGCGUCGUGUGUUUCUUGCCGGAGGUAGAGCACUGGAUAGGCGAUGGGCCCUACCGGGUUACUGACCUUAGCCAAACUCCGAAUGCCGGUAAGUGAGAGCGCGGCAGUGAGACUGUGGGGGAUAAGCUCCAUGGUCGAGAGGGAAACAGCCCAGAGCAUCGACUAAGGCCCCUAAGCGUGUGCUAAGUGGGAAAGGAUGUGGAGUCGCAGAGACAACCAGGAGGUUGGCUUAGAAGCAGCCAUCCUUGAAAGAGUGCGUAAUAGCUCACUGGUCAAGUGAUUCCGCGCCGACAAUGUAGCGGGGCUCAAGCACACCGCCGAAGUCAUGUCAUUGCAGUAUGUACUCCUAACGGGGACUGUGAUGGGUAGGGGAGCGUCGUGUGCCGGGUGAAGCAGCGCCGGAAGGUAGUUGUGGACGGUUCACGAGUGAGAAUGCAGGCAUGAGUAGCGAUACACACGUGGGAAACGUGUGCGCCGAUUGACUAAGGGUUCCUGGGUCAAGCUGAUCUGCCCAGGGUAAGUCGGGACCUAAGGCGAGGCCGACAGGCGUAGUCGAUGGACAACCGGUUGAUAUUCCGGUACCCGCUUUGAAGCGCCAAACAUCGAAUCCUCUGAUGCUAAGGCCGUGAAGCCGCCCUGGAGUCUUCGGACAAAGGGGAGUGGUGGAGCCGCUGAUCCAAGGUGGUAGUAGGUGAGUGAUGGGGUGACGCAGGAAGGUAGUCCAGCCCGGGCGGUGGUUGUCCCGGGGUAAGGGUGUAGGACGCACGGUAGGCAAAUCCGUCGUGCAUGAAGUCUGAGACCUGAUGCCGAGCCGAUUGUGGUGAAGUGGAUGAUCCUAUGCUGUCGAGAAAAGCCUCUAGCGAGUUUCAUGGCGGCCCGUACCCUAAACCGACUCAGGUGGUCAGGUAGAGAAUACCGAGGCGUUCGGGUGAACUAUGGUUAAGGAACUCGGCAAAAUGCCCCCGUAACUUCGGGAGAAGGGGGGCCACGGCUGGUGAUCACCCUUGCGGUGUGAGCUGGUGGUGGCCGCAGAGACCAGCGAGAAGCGACUGUUUACUAAAAACACAGGUCCGUGCGAAGCCGUAAGGCGAUGUAUACGGACUGACGCCUGCCCGGUGCUGGAACGUUAAGGGGACCGGUUAGCUCCAUUUCGGUGGGGCGAAGCUGAGAACUUAAGCGCCAGUAAACGGCGGUGGUAACUAUAACCAUCCUAAGGUAGCGAAAUUCCUUGUCGGGUAAGUUCCGACCUGCACGAAUGGCGUAACGACUUCUCGACUGUCUCAACCAUAGGCCCGGUGAAAUUGCACUACGAGUAAAGAUGCUCGUUUCGCGCAGCAGGACGGAAAGACCCCGGGACCUUUACUAUAGCUUGAUAUUGGUGUUUGGUUCGGCUUGUGUAGGAUAGGUGGGAGACUGUGAAGCCGUGACGCCAGUCAUGGUGGAGUCGUUGUUGAAAUACCACUCUGGUCGUGCUGGAUGUCUAACCUGGGUCCGUGAUCCGGAUCAGGGACAGUGUCUGGUGGGUAGUUUAACUGGGGCGGUUGCCUCCUAAAGGGUAACGGAGGCGCCCAAAGGUUCCCUCAGCCUGGUUGGCAAUCAGGUGUUGAGUGUAAGUGCACAAGGGAGCUUGACUGUGAGACUGACGGGUCGAGCAGGUACGAAAGUAGGGACUAGUGAUCCGGCGGUGGCUUGUGGAAGCGCCGUCGCUCAACGGAUAAAAGGUACCCCGGGGAUAACAGGCUGAUCUUCCCCAAGAGUCCAUAUCGACGGGAUGGUUUGGCACCUCGAUGUCGGCUCGUCGCAUCCUGGGGCUGGAGUCGGUCCCAAGGGUUGGGCUGUUCGCCCAUUAAAGCGGUACGCGAGCUGGGUUUAGAACGUCGUGAGACAGUUCGGUCCCUAUCCGCUGUGCGCGUAGGAGUCUUGAGAAGGGCUGUCCCUAGUACGAGAGGACCGGGACGGACGAACCUCUGGUGUGCCAGUUGUUCUGCCAAGGGCAUGGCUGGUUGGCUACGUUCGGAAAGGAUAACCGCUGAAAGCAUCUAAGCGGGAAGCCUGCUUUAGACGACUGGGUUGAUAGGCCAGAUAUGGAAGCACCGUAAGGUGUGGAGUUGACUGGUACUAAUAGGCCGAGGGCUUGUCCUCAGUUG
This 2435-nucleotide ribosomal RNA is filed under the name Kitasatospora aureofaciens. Its description in RNAcentral is "bacterial LSU rRNA". It matches the Rfam family "Bacterial large subunit ribosomal RNA", at positions 590 to 2925 of the family's 2925-position model. Lineage: Bacteria; Bacillati; Actinomycetota; Actinomycetes; Kitasatosporales; Streptomycetaceae. The record is from RNAcentral.